RNAcentral lists this ribosomal RNA (477 nucleotides) under uncultured organism. Its description in RNAcentral is "partial 16S ribosomal RNA". It matches the Rfam family "Bacterial small subunit ribosomal RNA", at positions 332 to 800 of the family's 1533-position model. The record is from RNAcentral.
UACACUCCUGCGGGAGGCAGCAGUGGGGAAUUUUGGACAAUGGGCGAAAGCCUGAUCCAGCAAUGCCGCGUGUGUGAAGAAGGCCUUCGGGUUGUAAAGCACUUUUGUCCGGAAAGAAAUCCUUGGCUCUAAUACAGUCGGGGGAUGACGGUACCGGAAGAAUAAGCACCGGCUAACUACGUGCCAGCAGCCGCGGUAAUACGUAGGGUGCGAGCGUUAAUCGGAAUUACUGGGCGUAAAGCGUGCGCAGGCGGUUUGCUAAGACCGAUGUGAAAUCCCCGGGCUCAACCUGGGAACUGCAUUGGUGACUGGCAGGCUAGAGUAUGGCAGAGGGGGGUAGAAUUCCACGUGUAGCAGUGAAAUGCGUAGAGAUGGGGAGGAAUACCGAUGGCGAAGGCAGCCCCCUGGGCCAAUACUGACGCUCAUGCACGAAAGCGUGGGGAGCAAACAGGAUUAGAAACCCCUGUAGUCCCAUGA